AGUGAACGCUGGCGGUAGGCCUAACACAUGCAAGUCGAACGGCAGCACAGUAAGAGCUUGCUCUUACGGGUGGCGAGUGGCGGACGGGUGAGGAAUACAUCGGCAUCUACUUUUUCGUGGGGGAUAACGUAGGGAAACUUACGCUAAUACCGCAUACGACCUACGGGUGAAAGCAGGGGAUCUUCGGACCUUGCGCGAUUGAAUGAGCCGAUGUCGGAUUAGCUAGUUGGCGGGGUAAAGGCCCACCAAGGCGACGAUCCGUAGCUGGUCUGAGAGGAUGAUCAGCCACACUGGAACUGAGACACGGUCCAGACUCCUACGGGAGGCAGCAGUGGGGAAUAUUGGACAAUGGGCGCAAGCCUGAUCCAGCCAUACCGCGUGGGUGAAGAAGGCCUUCGGGCUGUAAAGCCCUUUUGUUGGGAAAGAAAAGCAGCAGGUUAAUACCCCGCUGUUCUGACGGUACCCAAAGAACAAGCACCGGCUAACUUCGUG
This 492-nucleotide ribosomal RNA is filed under the name uncultured bacterium. RNAcentral describes it as "partial 16S ribosomal RNA". It matches the Rfam family "Bacterial small subunit ribosomal RNA", at positions 29 to 507 of the family's 1533-position model. The record is from RNAcentral.